CAUUUUUAGCUCACCUGGCCCGAAGGGCCAAGUGAGCUUUUCCCAUCACUUUGCGUCGGCGCCGUCGUCGUCGUCGUCCGUCGUCUGUCGUCCGUCGUCGUCCGUCGUCCGUCGUCGUUAACUUUUACAAAAAUCUUCUCCUCUGAAACUACUGGGCCAAAUUGAACCAAACUUGGCCACAAUCAUCAUUGGGGUAUCUAGUUUAAAAAAUGUGUGGCGUGACCCGGUCAACCAACCAAGAUGGCCGCCACGGCUAAAAAUAGAACAUAGGGGUAAAAUGCAGUUUUUGGCUUAUAACUCAAAAACCAAAGCAUUUAGAGGAAAUCUGACAUGGGGUAAAAUGUUUAUCAGGUCAAGAUCUAUCUGCCCUGAAAUUUUCAGAUGA
This 385-nucleotide long non-coding RNA is filed under the name Mytilus galloprovincialis (Mediterranean mussel). Lineage: Eukaryota; Metazoa; Mollusca; Bivalvia; Mytilida; Mytilidae. The record is from RNAcentral.